Molecule: ribosomal RNA, 496 nt
Filed under: uncultured bacterium
Lineage: Bacteria
Description: partial 16S ribosomal RNA
Rfam family: Bacterial small subunit ribosomal RNA
Source: RNAcentral
AUGAACGCUGGCGGCGUGCCUAAUACAUGCAAGUCGAGCGAACGGACGAGAAGCUUGCUUUUCUGAUGUUAGCGGCGGACGGGUGAGUAACACGUGGAUAACCUACCUAUAAGACUGGGAUAACUUCGGGAAACCGGAGCUAAUACCGGAUAAUAUUUUGAACCGCAUGGUUCAAAAGUGAAAGACGGUCUUGCUGUCACUUAUAGAUGGAUCCGCGCUGCAUUAGCUAGUUGGUAAGGUAACGGCUUACCAAGGCAACGAUGCAUAGCCGACCUGAGAGGGUGAUCGGCCACACUGGAACUGAGACACGGUCCAGACUCCUACGGGAGGCAGCAGUAGGGAAUCUUCCGCAAUGGGCGAAAGCCUGACGGAGCAACGCCGCGUGAGUGAUGAAGGUCUUUGGAUCGUAAAACUCUGUUAUUAGGGAAGAACAUAUGUGUAAGUAACUGUGCACAUCUUGACGGUACCUAAUCAGAAAGCCACGGCUAACUACGUG